This 519-nucleotide ribosomal RNA is filed under the name uncultured bacterium. Its description in RNAcentral is "partial 16S ribosomal RNA". It matches the Rfam family "Bacterial small subunit ribosomal RNA", at positions 28 to 507 of the family's 1533-position model. The record is from RNAcentral.
GACGAACGCUGGCGGCGUGCCUAAUACAUGCAAGUCGAGCGAGCUUGCCUAGAUGAAUUUGGUGCUUGCACCCAAUGAAACUAGAUACAAGCGAGCGGCGGACGGGUGAGUAACACGUGGGUAACCUGCCCAAGAGACUGGGAUAACACCUGGAAACAGAUGCUAAUACCGGAUAACAACACUAGACGCAUGUCUAGAGUUUAAAAGAUGGUUCUGCUGUCACUCUUGGAUGGACCUGCGGUGCAUUAGCUAGUUGGUAAGGCAACGGCUUACCAAGGCAAUGAUGCAUAGCCGAGUUGAGAGACUGAUCGGCCACAUUGGGACUGAGACACGGCCCAAACUCCUACGGGAGGCAGCAGUAGGGAAUCUUCCACAAUGGACGCAAGUCUGAUGGAGCAACGCCGCGUGAGUGAAGAAGGGUUUCGGCUCGUAAAGCUCUGUUGGUAGUGAAGAAAGAUAGAGGUAGUAACUGGCCUUUAUUUGACGGUAAUUACUUAGAAAGUCACGGCUAACUACGUG